UACGGAGGGUGCAAGCGUUACUCGGAAUCACUGGGCGUAAAGAGCGUGUAGGCGGGUAUAUAAGUCAGAAGUGAAAUCCUAUAGCUUAACUAUAGAACUGCUUUUGAAACUGUAUACCUAGAAUGUGGGAGAGGUAGAUGGAAUUUCUGGUGUAGGGGUAAAAUCCGUAGAGAUCAGAAGGAAUACCGAUUGCGAAGGCGAUCUACUGGAACAUUAUUGACGCUGAGACGCGAAAGCGUGGGGAGCAAACAGGAUUAGAUACCCUGGUAGUCCACGCCCUAAACGAUGUACACUAGUUGUUGUGAGGCUCGACCUUGCAGUAAUGCAGUUAACACAUUAAGUGUACCGCCUGGGGAGUACGGUCGCAAGAUUAAAACUCAAAGGAAUAGACGGGGACCCGCACAAGCGGUGGAGCAUGUGGUUUAAUUCGACGAUACACGAAGAACCUUACCUGGACUUGACAUAGUAAGAACUUUCUAGAGAUAGAUUGGUGUCUGCUUGCAGAAACUUAUAUACAGGUGCUGCACGGCUGUCGUCAGCUCGUGUCGUGAGAUGUUGGGUUAAGUCCCGCAACGAGCGCAACCCUUGUCAUUAGUUGCUACGAAAGGGCACUCUAAUGAGACUGCCGGUGAUAAACCGGAGGAAGGUGGGGAUGACGUCAAGUCCUCAUGGCCCUUAUAGGUGGGGCUACACACGUCAUACAAUGGCUGGUACAGAGGGUUGCCAACCCGCGAGGGGGAGCUAAUCCCAUAAAACCAGUCGUAGUCCGGAUCGCAGUCUGCAACUCGACUGCGUGAAGUCGGAAUCGCUAGUAAUCGCGGAUCAGAAUGUCGCGGUGAAUACGUUCCCGGGUCU
This 855-nucleotide ribosomal RNA is filed under the name uncultured bacterium. RNAcentral's name for it is "bacterial SSU rRNA". It matches the Rfam family "Bacterial small subunit ribosomal RNA", at positions 524 to 1381 of the family's 1533-position model. The record is from RNAcentral.